ACGCUCGACACCUACGGGGGGCAGCAGUGGGGAAUAUUGCACAAUGGGGGAAACCCUGAUGCAGCAACGCCGCGUGAAGGAAGACGGUUUUCGGAUUGUAAACUUCUGUUCUUAGUGAAGAUAGUGACGGUAGCUAAGGAGCAAGCCACGGCUAACUACGUGCUAGCAGCCGCGGUAAUCUGAGCGGGCUGGCAAGGC
This 198-nucleotide ribosomal RNA is filed under the name uncultured bacterium. RNAcentral's name for it is "partial 16S ribosomal RNA". It matches the Rfam family "Bacterial small subunit ribosomal RNA", at positions 328 to 539 of the family's 1533-position model. The record is from RNAcentral.